CGUAGGUGGCAAGCGUUGUCCGGAAUUACUGGGCGUAAAGGGCGCGUAGGCGGAUAAUUAAGUCAGAUGUGAAAACUGCAGGCUUAACCUGGAGAUUGCAUCUGAAACUGGUUAUCUUGAGUGCAGGAGAGGACAGUGGAAUUCCUAGUGUAGCGGUGAAAUGCGUAGAUAUUAGGAGGAACACCAGUGGCGAAGGCGGCUGUCUGGACUGUAACUGACGCUGAGGCGCGAAAGCGUGGGGAGCAAACAGGAUUAGAUACCCUGGUAGUCCACGCUGUAAACGAUGGGUACUAGGUGUAGGGGGUAUCGACCCCUUCUGUGCCGGAGUUAACACAAUAAGUACCCCGCCUGGGGAGUACGGCCGCAAGGUUG
Molecule: ribosomal RNA, 372 nt
Filed under: uncultured organism
Description: bacterial SSU rRNA
Rfam family: Bacterial small subunit ribosomal RNA
Source: RNAcentral